RNAcentral lists this long non-coding RNA (542 nucleotides) under Mus pahari (shrew mouse). RNAcentral describes it as "RIKEN cDNA 1700071M16 gene (MGP_PahariEiJ_G0002795.1)". The record is from RNAcentral. Lineage: Eukaryota; Metazoa; Chordata; Mammalia; Rodentia; Muridae.
AGCCUAUAAGGCCUCCUACACAAUGCUGAUCCUUGGGCCAGCAGCAUGGCUGUCACCUAGGGAGUUAGAAAUGCAGAUUCCUGGUCCGAAUUUGACUGAAUCCAAAAGAUUCAAAGUAGGCCGAUUCAAGGUGAAGAAGUGCUGUGUCACAGCCCAAAUCUCUUGGCCUGCCACAUUGGUAAAGCAGGGAGAGGGGGCAGUUUGAAGACAGACAGAAGGUGAAGCAGAGUGGAGCCCAAUCACCUGGUGGAACCUGUUCACCUAGAAUUUAAGAGUCAUGGGUACCAAACGGAGGACAGAGAAGGAGGAGCAUCUUGCAAUUUGCACAUCACAUGAAUCCGCAUCUCCAUCUAUCUAUCUCUCUGGAAUCGUCAUAAGGGAAAAACAAAGAGACUUGUCAGACCAACUACAGCUUGGUCUGUGCUAUAGUUUGUGGCUCAGAGCUCAUCUUUUCUUAAUCCUCUUCAACUUUAUGUGAACUUUGAACCCUGUAGGACGCUGCUUGGUAUAUCUAGGAAAUAUAGCUAUUCAAGUUACAAUUU